This is a long non-coding RNA of Austrofundulus limnaeus, 1047 nucleotides long. RefSeq lists it as uncharacterized. The transcript has 3 exons. The record is from RefSeq and is a predicted model, not a curated record. Lineage: Eukaryota; Metazoa; Chordata; Actinopteri; Cyprinodontiformes; Rivulidae.
ACACACACACACACACACACACACACACACACACCAUAAUAACCUCGCAGCAGCUCAGACAUGUUUUCUCACACGCUCUCUGGGUGGGCCGAGGGGGCAAGCAAAGCGCCGACUCAGCACCAAACUCCAGCCAGGAUUUGACAUCUCUGCUCCGACGGUCGUUGGCUCAACUUUACCUGCAGCACAGCAGGUUCACAGUCACAGCUGGACRACGAGUUGGAGGACGGUCUGGACCAGUUGGAAACCGGUCCUGGUCCAGGGUCGGUGAGAGCCGGCCUCGUGUCCCACAGAGCUGCAGAGGAAACUGAGGAGCAGUUUGGGAGUGAAAGUUUCCCUCUGUGGUUUUAGAACCAGAUGUUCCAUCUGAACCGGACCAGGUCUGGAUUUUACAGAUUCUGUUAAAGUUUUGAGCGGUGACUCAGGGGGGAUCGCCUCGUUCCUGUCAUUCCACACAUUCCUGGAGCGCCUGAGCUCCUCGGCAGCUUCCGUCCACUCCACCUCUCAGAUGCUUCCAGUAAAACCAGCGUUUUAUCUGGAACACACGCUUCCAGAAGCGGAGAGGCCAAAACGUCUGGACUUAUUUGGCUGCUGGGUGGGAGACGCAGCUGAAACAAAAGGAAAGCCCCCUUCGGCUGCUCCGGUGACGUUAUUCCAGCUGCUCCACCUCRAACUAAAGUUUCUAAAGAAUCAGCUUCAGCUGUUUGUUACUUAAAUUCAAGAGAAGUGAGAUGUUCAAUAAAGAUCACGUUCUUUAGAAAUAUACCUGUUUUAUUAUUCUAGAAAUCAUCAGCAGGUUAUUGAUUGUUUUCUGUAAACUGAACACUGUUUUAAGACCUGCUGCACACUUUCUUAUUUCAGCUGUUUAUCUACAUGUUCGGCUCAUUCAGGGAGCCGGAAUGGUUUUUAUGUCUGUAAUACUUUUUUAAAGUAUUUAAAGGUAUUUACAAAUAUUUCCCCCCACAGAAAUAAAUAUGCAGAUCUCUGAAGUUCCUUCAACAUUACUGCUCCCUUUGAAAGCUGCUUCAGUAAAAUGGCUGUUUUUGUCUC